GGAUGUAUAGCCCAGUGGUUAAUGUAUCAGACUGAGACACAGAAGGUUGCUGAUUCAAGUCCCAGUGCAGCCA
Molecule: non-coding RNA, 73 nt
Organism: Gymnothorax javanicus (giant moray)
Lineage: Eukaryota; Metazoa; Chordata; Actinopteri; Anguilliformes; Muraenidae
Source: the annotation of a GenBank genome assembly